This is an RNA transcript of Triticum dicoccoides, 1471 nucleotides long. It is a transcript of the gene named E3 ubiquitin-protein ligase RNF144B-like, with no coding region annotated. NCBI's taxonomy places the organism in Eukaryota, Viridiplantae, Streptophyta, Magnoliopsida, Poales, Poaceae. The transcript has 3 exons. The record is from RefSeq and is a predicted model, not a curated record.
CACCUCCCCACUAACCCAACCUCCUUCCACCCACGCAGUCCCAUGGCGAGCGCGGCGCAGGAGCUCGACGUCCAGGACCUCCGCCUGCAGGAGCUCAUCCGGGGCUCCAUGCCGGACCGGCCGCCGUCCUCGUCGUCGUCCCGCGUGCCGCCGCUCAGCGACGACGAGAUCGGCCGGUUCCACUGCGCGGUCUGCAUGGAGCCCAAGCUGGUGUUCGACCGGUUCCGCGCCACGCCGGCCUGCGCGCACGACUUCUGCGUCGCCUGCGUCGUGGCCCACAUCGAGGCCCGCGUCGUGGACGGCGCCGUGCCCGUGCCCUGCCCGGCGGCCGGGGCCGGCUGCCCCGGCGCCAUGCACCCGGAGGCCUGCAAGAAGCUGCUCCACAUGGACGUAUUCGACGCCUGGUGCGUCGCGCUCUGCGAGCGCGCCGUCGGGCCGGCCCGCGCGCGCUGCCCCUACCGGGACUGCGGCGAGCUCGUGGUGCUCGACGCCGGCUGCGGCGCCGCCGUCGGCGAGGUGCCUGAGGAGGCGACCUGCCCCGGCUGCUCGCGCGCCUUCUGCUUGCUGUGCGAGGAGCCCUGGGACGACCGCCACGACGGCGGCCAGGGGUGCGCGCUCGACCGGCUCGCCGUGGGGCGCAGCUGGAUGCGCUGCCCGAGCUGCCGCGCCAUGAUCGACCGGAUCGACGGCUGCAAAACCAUGCUGUGCAGGUGUGGCUCCGUCUUCUGCUACGGCUGCGGCUCGUCUCGGGCAGAGGGGAUGUGCAGAUGCUAUGCUUCGCGACGGGAGGAUUUCAUACCACUCGACGCCGGCUUUGAGCUCGUCGGGGCCGGGCCAAGCACUGGCCUUUCCUCGACUCUCGGCAAGGAUGCGGUCAUGUAAAUGCUUUUCAGUCGACGGGUGUUGAACUGAUCGAGUUAAUAGUGCUGAACUCUUGAGUGAGGAAGCCAAACAGAAGACUACAGUGGAGGUUUACCAGAUGCAUAAAAACACGGCGCCCAACCCGGCGGCCCCACAUGCAGCAGCCCGUGCAGAUAAGCCGGCGCCACAAAUUUGCCGCUCCACAGCCCGUGUGCAUUAAAUUUACAGCUUCGUUUUUGUGCGUGCGCUAUUUUACAGCUUCUGUUGAAGUGUUGUUUUUGGGCGCAGGCACCAAAAAGCUAUGUUUUUUGCGUGCGCGUUUUAUUUGACGCGUCUGUUGGAGAUGCUCUUCUUGGCAACUUUCAGAGAUGAAAAAGAUGAACACUUUCCGGCAAGAAAAAAAUAGAAAAUAGAAAAAAGAAUAGAAAGAUGAACACUGCCGUAUGGCAUUCCCCCACUGGAACAGGUUUUUUUUAGCAAACACCACUAUAACAGUUUUUUUAGGGGUCCCACUGGAACAGGUGCAGAAAGGAGAGAAGUUCAUCUUCUCGGGCCUUUCCAGCCCAUUUGCUGAUUUAUCUACAAGCAAAUGAGGCCCAGGCGCUCAGGC